UGUAACAAGGUCUCCGUUGGUGAACCAGCGGAGGGAUCAUUACCGAGUUUUCAACUCCCAAACCCUUAUGUGAACCUACCUAUCGUUGCUUCGGCGGACUCGCCCCAGCCGGACGCGGACUGGACCAGCGGCCGCCGGGGACCAUCAAACUCUUGUAUUAUCAGCAUCUUCUGAAUACGCCGCAAGGCAAAACAAAUAAAUUAAAACUUUCAACAACGGAUCUCUUGGCUCUGGCAUCGAUGAAGAACGCAGCGAAAUGCGAUAAGUAAUGUGAAUUGCAGAAUCCAGUGAAUCAUCGAAUCUUUGAACGCACAUUGCGCCCGCCAGCAUUCUGGCGGGCAUGCCUGUUCGAGCGUCAUUUCAACCCUCGACCUCCCUUUGGGGAAGUCGGCGUUGGGGACCGGCAGCACACCGCCGGCCCUGAAAUGGAGUGGCGGCCCGUCCGCGGCGACCUCUGCGUAGUAAACCAACUCGCACCGGAACCCCGACGUGGCCACGCCGUAAAACACCCAACUUCUGAACGUUGACCUCGAAUCAGGUAGGACUACCCGCUGAACUUAAGCAUAUCA
Molecule: ribosomal RNA, 569 nt
Filed under: Beauveria bassiana
Lineage: Eukaryota; Fungi; Ascomycota; Sordariomycetes; Hypocreales; Cordycipitaceae
Description: eukaryotic LSU rRNA
Rfam family: 5.8S ribosomal RNA (bases 205-358)
Source: RNAcentral